This 78-nucleotide transfer RNA is filed under the name Astilboides tabularis. Its description in RNAcentral is "tRNA-Leu". It matches the Rfam family "tRNA". Rfam says of the family: Transfer RNA (tRNA) molecules are approximately 80 nucleotides in length. Their secondary structure includes four short double-helical elements and three loops (D, anti-codon, and T loops). Lineage: Eukaryota; Viridiplantae; Streptophyta; Magnoliopsida; Saxifragales; Saxifragaceae. The record is from RNAcentral. RNAcentral also lists the same sequence under 3 other names.
GCCGCUAUGGUGGAAUCGGUAGACACGCUGCUCUUAGGAAGCAGUGCUAGAGCAUCUCGGUUCGAGUCCGAGUGGCGG